RNAcentral lists this ribosomal RNA (466 nucleotides) under uncultured bacterium. Its description in RNAcentral is "partial 16S ribosomal RNA". It matches the Rfam family "Bacterial small subunit ribosomal RNA", at positions 339 to 795 of the family's 1533-position model. The record is from RNAcentral.
CUACGGGAGGCAGCAGUGGGGAAUAUUGGACAAUGGGGGAAACCCUGAUCCAGCAAUGCCGCGUGUGUGAAGAAGGCCUGCGGGUUGUAAAGCACUUUCGGUUGGGAGUACUGCUUCUAGCACUAAUAUUGUUGGAAGUUGACGUUACCUUCAGAAGAAGCACCGGCUAACUCCGUGCCAGCAGCCGCGGUAAUACGGGAGGGUGCAAGCGUUAAUCGGAAUUACUGGGCGUAAAGCGCGCGUAGGCGGCUAGAUAAGUCGGGUGUGAAAGCCCCGGGCUUAACCUGGGAACUGCAUCCGAUACUGUCUAGCUUGAGUACAGGAGAGGAGAGUGGAAUUCCACAUGUAGCGGUGAAAUGCGUAGAUAUGUGGAGGAACACCAAUGGCGAAGGCAGCUCUCUGGCCUGAUACUGACGCUGAGGUGCGAAAGCGUGGGGAGCAAACAGGAUUAGAUACCCCGGUAGUC